Molecule: ribosomal RNA, 431 nt
Filed under: uncultured eukaryote
Lineage: Eukaryota
Description: bacterial SSU rRNA
Rfam family: Eukaryotic small subunit ribosomal RNA
Source: RNAcentral
CAAUAGCGUAUAUUUAAGUUGUUGCAGUUAAAAGCUCGUAGUUGGAUUUCGGUUGAGAACGGCCGGUCCGCCGUUUGGUGUGCACUGGCUGGUCUCAACUUCCUGUAGAGGACGCGCUCUGGGUUAACGCUCGGACGCGGAGUCUACGUGGUUACUUUGAAAAAUUAGAGUGUUCAAAGCGGGCUUACGCUUGAAUAUUUCAGCAUGGAAUAACACUAUAGGACUCCUGUCCUAUUUCGUUGGUCUCGGGACGGGAGUAAUGAUUAAGAGGAACAGUUGGGGGCGAUUCGUAUUUCUAUGUUCAGAGGUGGAAAUUACUUUGGUAGUUUAUUGAAAGAACGAACUUACUUGCGAAAGACAUUUGUCCAACGGAAGUGUUUUCUUAUUAAAUUCAAGAAACGAAAGUUAGGGGGUCGGUCGAAGACGAUUAG